UCGGUAGAGGGGUUUUGAUUAUCUCUCUGCCUGAGCUAACGCGUUAAGUGCCCCGCCUGGGGAGUACGGCCGCAAGGCUAAAACUCAAAAGAAUUGACGGGGGCUCGCACAAGCGGUGGAGCAUGUGGCUUAAUUCGAUGCAACACGAAGAACCUUACCGGGGCUUGACAUGGUAGAAGUAGGAGCCCGAAAGGGUAACGAACGGUAUCCAGUCCGUAGCUAUCACAGGUGUUGCAUGGCUGUCGUCAGCUCGUGUCGUGAGACGUUGGGUUAAGUCCCCUAACGAGCGAAACCCUUGUCUUUAGUUGCCAACAGGUCAAGCUGGGCACUCUAAAGAGACUGCUGUCGUCAAGACGGAGGAAGGUGGGGAUGACGUCAAGUCAUCAUGGUCCUUAUGUCCCGGGCUGCACACGUGCUACAAUGGUCGGUACAAAGGGAUGCCAAGUCGCAAGACGGAGCGAAACCCAAAUAAAGCCGAUCCCAGUUCAGAUUGGAGGCUGAAACCCGCCUCCAUGAAGUAGGAAUCGCUAGUAAUCGCGGAUCAGCUAUGCCGCGGUGAAUAUGUUCCCGAGCCUUGUACACACCGCCCGUCAAGCCACCCAAGCAAGAUGCACCCGAAGCCACUGGCCUAACCCGCAAGGGACGGAAGUGUCUAAGGUGUGUUUUGUGAGGAGGACUAAGUCGUAACAAGGUAACCGUA
This 700-nucleotide ribosomal RNA is filed under the name uncultured bacterium. Its description in RNAcentral is "bacterial SSU rRNA". It matches the Rfam family "Bacterial small subunit ribosomal RNA", at positions 817 to 1504 of the family's 1533-position model. The record is from RNAcentral.